This 447-nucleotide ribosomal RNA is filed under the name uncultured bacterium. RNAcentral describes it as "SSU rRNA". It matches the Rfam family "Bacterial small subunit ribosomal RNA", at positions 26 to 518 of the family's 1533-position model. The record is from RNAcentral.
AGAGCGAACGCUGGCGGCAGGCUUAACACAUGCAAGUCGAGCGGGCGUAGCAAUACGUCAGCGGCAGACGGGUGAGUAACGCGUGGGAACAUACCUUUUGGUUCGGAACAACCCAGGGAAACUUGGGCUAAUACCGGAUAAGCCCUUACGGGGAAAGAUUUAUCGCCGAAAGAUUGGCCCGCGUCUGAUUAGCUAGUUGGUGAGGUAACGGCUCACCAAGGCGACGAUCAGUAGCUGGUCUGAGAGGAUGAUCAGCCACAUUGGGACUGAGACACGGCCCAAACUCCUACGGGAGGCAGCAGUGGGGAAUAUUGGACAAUGGGCGCAAGCCUGAUCCAGCCAUGCCGCGUGAGUGAUGAAGGCCCUAGGGUUGUAAAGCUCUUUUGUGCGGGAAGAUAAUGACGGUACCGCAAGAAUAAGCCCGGCUAACUUCGUGCCAGCAGCCGC